Molecule: ribosomal RNA, 468 nt
Filed under: uncultured bacterium
Lineage: Bacteria
Description: partial 16S ribosomal RNA
Rfam family: Bacterial small subunit ribosomal RNA
Source: RNAcentral
ACGAACGCUGGCGGCGUGCUUAACACAUGCAAGUCGAACGGAAAGGCCCUGCUUUUGUGGGGUGCUCGAGUGGCGAACGGGUGAGUAACACGUGAGUAACCUGCCCUUGACUUUGGGAUAACUUCAGGAAACUGGGGCUAAUACCGGAUAGGAGCUCCUGCUGCAUGGUGGGGGUUGGAAAGUUUCGGCGGUUGGGGAUGGACUCGCGGCUUAUCAGCUUGUUGGUGGGGUAGUGGCUUACCAAGGCUUUGACGGGUAGCCGGCCUGAGAGGGUGACCGGCCACAUUGGGACUGAGAUACGGCCCAGACUCCUACGGGAGGCAGCAGUGGGGAAUAUUGCACAAUGGGCGGAAGCCUGAUGCAGCAACGCCGCGUGCGGGAUGGCGGCCUUCGGGUUGUAAACCGCUUUCGCCUGUGACGAAGCGUGAGUGACGGUAAUGGGUAAAGAAGCACCGGCUAACUACGUGC